This 807-nucleotide ribosomal RNA is filed under the name uncultured bacterium. RNAcentral describes it as "bacterial SSU rRNA". It matches the Rfam family "Bacterial small subunit ribosomal RNA", at positions 94 to 904 of the family's 1533-position model. The record is from RNAcentral.
ACCGGCGCACGGGUGCGUAACGCGUAUGCAAUCUACCUUUUACAGAGGGAUAGCCCAGAGAAAUUUGGAUUAAUACCUCAUAGUAUAGAUUAACCGCAUGGUUGGCCUAUUAAAGUCACAACGGUAAAAGAUGAGCAUGCGUCCCAUUAGCUAGUUGGUAAGGUAACGGCUUACCAAGGCGACGAUGGGUAGGGGUCCUGAGAGGGAGAUCCCCCACACUGGUACUGAGACACGGACCAGACUCCUACGGGAGGCAGCAGUGAGGAAUAUUGGACAAUGGGCGCAAGUCUGAUCCAGCCAUGCCGCGUGCAGGAUGACGGUCCUAUGGAUUGUAAACUGCUUUUGCACAGGAAGAAACAACUCUACGUGUAGAGUCUUGACGGUACUGUGAGAAUAAGGAUCGGCUAACUCCGUGCCAGCAGCCGCGGUAAUACGGAGGAUCCAAGCGUUAUCCGGAAUCAUUGGGUUCAAAGGGUCCGUAGGCGGUUUAGUAAGUCAGUGGUGAAAGCCCAUCGCUCAACGGUGGAACGGCCAUUGAUACUGCUAGACUUGAAUUAUUAGGAAGUAACUAGAAUAUGUAGUGUAGCGGUGAAAUGCUUAGAGAUUACAUGGAAUACCAAUUGCGAAGGCAGGUUACUACUAAUGGAUUGACGCUGAUGGACGAAAGCGUGGGUAGCGAACAGGAUUAGAUACCCUGGUAGUCCACGCCGUAAACGAUGGAUACUAGCUGUUGGGAGCAAUCUCAGUGGCUAAGCGAAAGUGAUAAGUAUCCCACCUGGGGAGUACAUUCGCAAGAAUGAAACUCAA